GAGCUUAAAGAGAUUGUUUAAAAAGUGAUAACCCAUGUCUGUAUUCAGAAACAGUUUUAUCAAAAUGAAGAUGACUUCCAUUUAUAACACUUAAUUUUGGGGGUACAUUUGUGUAAAGCCAAGGGAAAUUCAACUUUUGAGAUCUCAAUUGUUAGGAUAAAAAAUCAGCUUCCAAAAAUAAUGGUCCAUUGAUAUCAGAGGUAAUGACAGCACAAAUUUGUAAUAAUGGUUUUCUGUUGAAGUUGAUGUUUUUUCUUCUUACUGACCAAUGAGUAUUUUCUUUUAAAAUGAGAAUAAUGCUGAAAACUGUUUUUUCUGAUUUCUUUUAUUUGCAAAGUUAGAAAAGGAGUUCAUGCUUUACUGAGUCAUAAGAAAGACUAUUACACAGUUUGUGGCAAGGCUCUUGUAACCAGUUGGAAUCUAAGUUAUUUGCUUUAUUUUUAUAAUCAGUAUUUUCUUUUUUGAAAUUUUAUUUUUAGGUAGGCGUUUGAUUUGUAAUAUCUGCUGUUCUAAAGACUUAAAUGUCACCCAGAUAGGAUAAAAUAGAACAGUAAGGAUUAUGAUAUUUCCUGACAGUUGAGUAGGAUGUAUGAAUCCCCCACACACUAAUCUUAUUUCUGAUUUUUUGUUUUUAUCUCUUUAGAGUUAUAGAUAGUAGUAUGAAAAACUUCAAAGCAUUUUUUCGGUGGCUUUAUGUGGCAAUGUUGAGAAUGACAGAAGACCAUGUGCUUCCCGAGCUGAAUAAGAUGACUCAGAAAGAUAUCACAUUUGUUGCUGAAUUUCUUACUGAACAUUUCAAUGAGGCUCCAGACCUUUAUAAUCG
Molecule: long non-coding RNA, 823 nt
Filed under: Homo sapiens (human)
Lineage: Eukaryota; Metazoa; Chordata; Mammalia; Primates; Hominidae
Description: HSALNT0070286
Source: RNAcentral